UGAAUACGAGACGCUAAGGCGUUGAAGUAGUGUAUGUCAUACUUCCAAGAAAAGCUUGCACAGUCAUAGAUAAAAAACGCCUGUACCAUAACCGACACAGGUGGGUAGGUAGAGUAUACUAAGGGGCGCGAGAUAACUCUCUCUAAGGAACUCGGCAAAAUAACUCCGUAACUUCGGGAGAAGGAGUGCCUUAUUUAUAAGGCUGCAAUAACAAGAUCCAAGCAACUGUUUAUCAAAAACACAGGUCUCCGCUAAGUCGUAAGACGAUGUAUGGGGGCUGACGCCUGCCCAGUGCCAGAAGGUUAAAGAAGUUGGUUAGCAAUAGCGAAGCUGAUAACUGAAGCCCUGGUGAACAGCGGCCGUAACUAUAACGGUCCUAAGGUAGCGAAAUUCCUUGUCGGGUAAGUUCCGACCCGCACGAAAGGCGUAAUGAUUUGGAUACUGUCUCGGAGAGGGGCUCGGUGAAAUAGACUUGUCUGUGAAGAUGCGGACUACCUGCACCAGGACAGAAAGACCCUAUGAAGCUUUACUGUAACUUGAAAUUGAAAUUGGACUUUAUUCGCGCAGUAUAGGUGGGAGGCGUUGAUUGUAAUCUUGCGGGAUUAUUGGAGCCAUCAGUGAGAUACCACCCUUGUAAUGUUAGAUUUCUAACUUUGAAUCAUUAUCUGGUCAAAGAACAGUUUCAGGCGGGCAGUUUGACUGGGGCGGUCGCCUCCUAAACGGUAACGGAGGCGUACAAAGGUUUCCUCUGAACGGUUAGAAAUCGUAUCUAGAGUGUAAAGGCAUAAGGAAGCUUGACUGUGAGACCUACAAGUCGAGCAGGGACGAAAGUCGGUCUUAGUGAUCUGACGGUACUGAGUGGAAAGGCCGUCACUCAACGGAUAAAAGUUACUCUAGGAUAACAGGCUGAUCUCCCCCAAGAGUUCACAUCGACGGGGAGGUUUGGCACCUCGAUGUCGGCUCAUCGCAUCCUGGGGCGGUAGUACGUCCCAAGGGUUGGGCUGUUCGCCCAUGAAAGCGGUACGCGAGCUGGGUUCAGAACGUCGUGAGACAGUUCGGUCCAUAUCCGGUGUAGGCGUUAGAAUAUUGAGAGGAGCCUUCUUUAGUACGAGAGGACCGAGAAGGACAUACCUCUGGUGUACCAGUUAUCGUGCCAACGGUAAACGCUGGGUAGCUAUGUAUGGAGUGGAUAACCGCUGAAAGCAUCUAAGUGGGAAGCCCACCUCAAGAUAAGUA
Molecule: ribosomal RNA, 1236 nt
Filed under: metagenome
Description: bacterial LSU rRNA
Rfam family: Bacterial large subunit ribosomal RNA
Source: RNAcentral